GAUGAAGAACGUAGUGAAAUGCGAUAAUUAAUGUGAAUUGCAGAAUUCAGUGAAUCAUCGAGUCUUUGAACGCACAUUGCGCCCCCUGGUAUUCCGGGGGGCAUGCCUGUCCGAGCGUCAUUGCUGCCCUCAAGCACGGCUUGUGUGUUGGGCUUCCGUCCCUGGCAACGGGGACGGGCCCAAAAGGCAGUGGCGGCACCAUGUCUGGUCCUCGAGCGUAUGGGGCUUUGUCACCCGCUCCCGUAGGUCCAGCUGGCAGCUAGCCUCGCAACCAAUCUUUUUAACCAGGUUGACCUCGGAUCAGGUAGGGAUACCCGCUGAACUUAAGCAUAUCAAUAGCGGAGGA
RNAcentral lists this unclassified non-coding RNA (346 nucleotides) under soil metagenome. RNAcentral's name for it is "partial contains 5.8S ribosomal RNA, internal transcribed spacer 2, and large subunit ribosomal RNA". The stretch from base 1 to 120 matches the Rfam family "5.8S ribosomal RNA", at positions 35 to 154 of the family's 154-position model. The record is from RNAcentral.